RNAcentral lists this ribosomal RNA (37 nucleotides) under ascomycete sp. CH-Aa. RNAcentral's name for it is "partial 28S ribosomal RNA". Lineage: Eukaryota; Fungi; Ascomycota. The record is from RNAcentral.
CUCGGAUCAGGUAGGGAUACCCGCUGAACUUAAGCAU